This 475-nucleotide ribosomal RNA is filed under the name uncultured bacterium. Its description in RNAcentral is "bacterial SSU rRNA". It matches the Rfam family "Bacterial small subunit ribosomal RNA", at positions 335 to 800 of the family's 1533-position model. The record is from RNAcentral.
ACUCCUACGGGAGGCAGCAGUGGGGAAUAUUGCACAAUGGGCGCAAGCCUGAUGCAGCCAUGCCGCGUGUAUGAAGAAGGCCUUCGGGUUGUAAAGUACUUUCAGCAGUGAGGAAGGUGGAUAUGUUAAUAGCAUAUUCAUUUGACGUUAGCUGCAGAAGAAGCACCGGCUAACUCCGUGCCAGCAGCCGCGGUAAUACGGAGGGUGCGAGCGUUAAUCGGAAUUACUGGGCGUAAAGCGCAUGCAGGUGGUUUGUUAAGUCAGAUGUGAAAGCCCGGGGCUCAACCUCGGAAUUGCAUUUGAAACUGGCAAACUAGAGUACUGUAGAGGGGGGUAGAAUUUCAGGUGUAGCGGUGAAAUGCGUAGAGAUCUGAAGGAAUACCGGUAGGCGAAGGCGGCCCCCUGGACAGAUACUGACACUCAGAUGCGAAAGCGUGGGGAAGCAAACAGGAUUAGAUACCCUGGUAGCUCUAGC